CUCUGGUCGUGUCCGCACCAGAGACUGCGCUCGCCCAGCUGCUCCUCAUUUCGGAAGCGGGCUCUGGGCAGGGUGCAGCAGCCCAGGCGACGGGCGAUCUCCGAUAGUGCGACUCUUUUCUCUGCUCCAGUCUGGGCAAACAACACAGAAGUGGGGAUUCUGACCCAGCCCUGCCUUUUGCUGGCGGUGCUGUUUCCUAGGUUCUGCUGGAGGAUACGAAGAUUUCAUCAGCUGAAGUCAGUUUCUUCAGCACCCAAAGGAAAGGUUUACUGGUAAAUAAACCGCAGAAGCAGGUACCAGUGUGCCUUAAGAACACUUUGCCCUCGCUAUUUGCAGUGCUGCAGUGGAAACACCACGGUCUGUCUGUCCCAGCAAACCCCGCCGAGGUGUAGCACAGCAGGGCUGCAUUGGAACUCGCAGGAAAUCCCUCAUUCUGGGAGACCCACAUGGGAGCAGCUUGGUUAUUUGGAUCUGUUCCUGAAGAAUCUGCUUCAGUUUUCCUGACACUAGACAGUAUUUUUGGAUGUCAAGACUGUCAGGGUCCUGGGCCCAAGGAUUUCUCGUAAGAUUCCCAGACCUCCACUACAAGCACACUGCUUCACUUUUUCUAGUGUUACCUUUGGAGGUCCUCGGGCUUUUAACUUUUCUUGAAGAAUGGUGUAUUUUCUGUUAACGUCAGAAAAUUCCUGUAACAAAAUGCCAUUCCUUCAUGUAAGAACAUCUCACAAGUAACCUGGUGUACCAAAGGAGAUUUUUAUGCUUUCUUUUGAAUACCCUAUUUGAACUAAACUUUAAAUAUCUCUUUCUCUUAAAUCUUAAAAAAUCCAUAAUGUGUGUACCUCAAACAAUGCUUUGCAAAAUCUGAUAGAAAUAAGUUAAAACAAACUGCCAAUGGAGCAAUCUAAAAAGUGAGGGCAAUAAUGUAAGGAAAAUACAAUUUCAGAGUUUUGAAGCUUACACUGGUUUUACGUCUUUUGAUAGGGCCUUUGUGUAAAUUUCAUUUUGCCAUUAGGCUUAAUGAAAUUUAAUGAAUUACCUGGAGCAACAUUGUUUUUUCACGUUUUGGGUGGAGUAAGGUUUACUGGCUGAUCCAUUCCCUGCUGAUUGAGCUUGCUGUUUAGGUUUCAGCUAUGUUUCUUCUAACAUGGAAGCUUGGCGUUGCUCCAAGCUUGCGCUGUGGGUGCCUGGUUCUCCUCACACUUCUAGCAAAUUUCUAGCUGCGUUCUCAAAAGUUUGAGCUACUGAAAAGCACUCAGCUAACCAAAAACACCAAGUAACUCCCACAGCAACUUUCUCUGAAGGAGAAUGGCCAGACUGUUCCCAUCACUCAUUUUAUAUUUGGUUUUGUCAUUUGUUCUGUUGUGUUUACCGGCGCCUAUGGUGACCAUGAGUUUUAGACACAGUGCAAGGAAAAAUGUGGUGGAGUAGCCAGAGAAAUGCAUAUGUUUUCUUUCAUUCAAACAAACAGAAGUGCUACCUGGCAGAAGCCUUAAAACAGAAAUUAUUCUUAACCCACAUGACAUAAGCAAAAUGUUAAUAGUUUUGAGGAAAGUGAGGUAACACAAUUACACUUCUGAAUGAAAAAUACUAUCAUAUGUGGAGGGAAUCUUUUUUCUCUUAGCACUUGACAAGAAGGCUUACAUUCUCAGUAUUCUGGGCUCGCUUGUGUGCUGCUUCUGCCUCUGCUCUUGCGUUUGUAGCUUGAUUCUUGUUCAUCUGCGCUUUUGCCCACAGUGUGGAAAUUUCAUCUUCCAUCUCCGAUUGUUUUGCUGACAAGUCAUUUAACUCAUCGUUUGUCUUGUUCACUUGAUUUUCAGCCUAAAACAGAGCAGUUGAAGGCUGUGAUUUCGUAUGCAACAUCCAUCCAGCUUGCAGAGCGUGGUAAUGGGCAGAAGAGCUUUGGCUGCUUUGCUGAAAUGGAAAAACAGAAGUGUGUGUAGUAUUGUUGUACAGACAGCAAAGCAAGAACAUGUUUUCAAAUGCACCUAUGCUCACAUGCAGAAAUGUUCCCGCAAGUCCAAUGGCCGCCAUUCAAACUGUGGGUUUUAAGUUGGCAAAGCAAAGCCUCACUAAGAGCCUAUCUGUGUGAGCAUGUGAGCUGCUGUAUUCAAAGGUGAGGCUGAGUGCUGCAGGCUGCCUAGUGAUGACUCAUAGCAGGCAGAAGAAGCCAAGAGCUGGCAGAAGCUGCCUCCUUGCAGCAUCAGCUCCUGCAGCCUGGGCAGUCAUGGCUCAUUCCUGCUAGAGAGGCCUUGUGGAAAUGGCAAGCUGAAAUCUGCUGUCAUCUGAACUUUCCCUCCAGCCUGGGCUGUGGAGCAGUCCUAUUAUGCACAGUGUUACCCCAUCUGGAGUUGGCAUGUCACUAUGAAAAUACCAUACUCACUCAGCUUCUUGUGCCUCUAUCAGCAGUGUCUGAGCUUCUUCCUGUUUUCUGUUUCUCCUACUUGUGUUCAAUUUGCACUUCUCACAGUGGUUCAUAAUGUUCCUGAUUUUGUCAAGAAUGCCCAUGAGCUCUUGUGGAGUCAGGGGAAGAUUUAUUUGCAGAACAUAAUUUGCCACCUUGUCAGUGUCUUCUGGAGGUGCACUUUCAUCUGCAACAGAAAUAGAGCUGAGAGUAUCCUGAAGCAGCUCUUUCCUCCAAGUGAAAUGUAGAUUGUUAUUAUGGCUGCCUCCCCUUGGAGUUAUAUGGGAGCAUAAAGCUGACAGUCACAGCAAGGGGGUAAGAGAAUUCUCUCUUAACAUUUUGUAAUUUAAUAUUAUGCUUCCAGGUACUGUUGUUAGUGUUGUCAGAACUGGCUAAAAUGAGGAUCUGAACCCACUUUGAACCGGGUUAUUAAAAUUCUGAUGUAGAACUGAGCCCAUGUAAGGUUUUACAUCAGUGCACAGCACAGCUAGAUGUGUCAGAACCCAUUUCUGCCUUGGCCCCUAGAUCAAAGAGGUGCUGGAGGGACUGGGGUGUGAAUGGAGCUUUCCGAGCUGGCUAGGGAGUGUAAUCCCUUCCCUGGAGUUGCUGCAAUACUGAGAAAGUGCUUCCUUUACUGGUUAAUAAGAAGUUAUAGAGGAAACUUGUGUCAGACUCAGAUAGGAUGGGAAUUUAUAGUGGAAAAAACAUAUUUUGAUAAAUUCCCCUACAAAUGAGCUCAUCGUAAGAGGCACAGGCACGCAGAGCUAGAGGAGUCAGUGCCUUACAAAGUCUCUUUUUUUGUUUUCUGUUCACUUCCCUUUAUAGACAAGUUCUUGGGUGAUAAACCAGUUGAAACAUAUUUAAUGUUUGUGCUAACACUCCAAAGUAACUCAACAAAAAUUAAAUAGAAGUAAUUUACUGUGCAAACAUUAAUGCAUUCCUGAGAGCUAUUUUCUGUAGAAACAUAUCUAAAAUUACUAUCCAUGCCAGUGUACAGUACAGCAGACUUAAUGUGACCUGAUGAUCUUAGAAGUCGUUUCCAGCCUGGUUAAUUCUGUGAUUCUGUGCACAUCUCAGUUGUUACUGUUCUUAAAUUUCAAUUCACAAAACAAAAAUCCAUUAAAAAAUGCUUUUAUA
This is a long non-coding RNA of Pogoniulus pusillus (Red-fronted tinkerbird), 3538 nucleotides long. RefSeq lists it as uncharacterized. The record is from RefSeq and is a predicted model, not a curated record. NCBI's taxonomy places the organism in Eukaryota, Metazoa, Chordata, Aves, Piciformes, Lybiidae. The transcript is spliced from 8 exons.